AUCUUUUCUCUUGCCCCAUCCCAUGUCACUGGUUUCUACAUGGCCUUUCACUACCGCCACAGAAUUUCUAAAGAGACUAUCAAGAUCAUAUGCUAAUGGCUUCUUUUUGCUGAAGAUACGUCUGUUAAUAAAAAAUUCUACCUGUACACUUUGCCAGACAUCUUUGGAUCAGCAUGACUAUAAUCACAACUGUUCUGAUGCCUUUUAG
This 208-nucleotide long non-coding RNA is filed under the name Ficedula albicollis (Collared flycatcher). RNAcentral's name for it is "lncRNA (ENSFALG00000023792.1)". The record is from RNAcentral. Lineage: Eukaryota; Metazoa; Chordata; Aves; Passeriformes; Muscicapidae.